UGCCUUGCCUUUUCUGCUUUAAAUAUUACUAUUUGCUUUAUAGGUUGCUUCAUUUUCUGCAGUUCCUCUCUUAAGAUGAUGCAGCUUUGUACUACAUUUAUUUGGCAGGCUCUCUUCUUCUAUAAACUUAAUGCUAUACCUUUCAAAUGGAGUUCUUAUUCCAGUUCCUAAUUUUGUUAUGGUAAGACCUAAGAUCUUGUUCUGUGAAGUCUAUUGACUGGAUGCUGAGUGCUUCUUCCUGAACUCUCUUCCUAAAUUUAUGCUUGCUCUAGAGACAGAGAUACAAAAUCCUUAAUUUUUCAUUGCAAAAUCUAAUGCCUGCUCUUGUAAACUUAAUGUGGAUCUGCUUUGCAGUGGCAUGCUUAAUUUUGCUGCACAGCCCUGACCUUCACAACUUGCAAAUUAAUCUUAAUUCCAGCCAUAAUUUAAGCAGUGACACUUUUGUUAUUUCACUGAUCAACCUAAUUUUGGUUGUCCCAGAAAUACUCCAUGAUUAAUUCCUAAAGAAUUGACUUUGAAACAUCUUUACUGGAAAAGAUAAUUGGAGAACAGAACAGAAUGAUUACAGUUAUUGAAUACUAAUAUUUAAUGAAAAAAUAGCCAGGAAAUAUAAUUUUACAUACAAAAGGAUUUGAAACUUAGUAAUUAAAUUCCUAGAAACUUCAAAAUAUGAUGACAGAUGACUAUUCUAUUUACCAUUGCAUCAUUUUCUGAAGGGGAAGAGGGGUCUCAGUGUACCCGCUGGUGAGAAGUUCAGCAUGCAGUUAAUCUAAGGUCAGAAGAACAUUUUUCCAGAUGAGAGGAGGUUUUUCAUUGUCUGAUCAUUAUUAUUAUUAUUGAUUUGUGUUGUCAGAAGUGACUGUAUUCAUUACGUUCCUCCUUUUUUUUUUUUCCCUAGGAAGAAUCUGUUUGUGUUUAUCCCAGUUUUUGGUUUGUGCUAAUCCUCACCAAUACGGUUUUAUUCUGUGGUCAGUUGAGUCACUGGGCAGCUCUUGUUGUUGCUCUGUCACCAAGCCUCUGCCUAGUGGGUGCUAUCUACAUAGCCCGUGGAAAAAAAAUACCAUUUUCUCCCUAAGAAACCUCAUGGGUACAGGGCUCAGUGCAUCUGAGGCCUCUUAUCUAACUGUCCAAUUUUCACUGUACAGCUUCUACUACACUAAGCUGUAAAUAUAUUGUUUAUUUAUAAACAAUGCUCUUAUGUAGAUAAUACAUACGUACAGCAGGUUUUCCUUCUUAAUAUCUUCAGGAAUUAGUGUGUCCAAAACUACACUGGGAUUUACUGCUGCCCCCUUGCUUUGACCCAAUGCCAUACUUUGGUGGCAUUGUUCUCAUGGGUGAUGGCUGUUCCUGGUCUCCUCUUUGUGCUUCCACUGCUUCAGCACCUGACUAUCUGGGCCUGAGAGCUUUUAUGCCUGUAAUGUUACUCAACUCACAACCCCACCUGCACUGGAGCAGCACAACUGCCCCUCUUGCACCAGCAAAAGUGGGAAUGUUGGAUGAACGCCAGACUACUGAGAGGAUGUAAGAGCCACAUGACCUCCUGCUGUGUUCUUUUUCUGCCCUCACAGUUUCAAGAUAUUUUUCAUAAUAAAAUUUAAGGACAAUUAAAUGUCUUUC
Molecule: long non-coding RNA, 1617 nt
Organism: Melospiza melodia melodia
Lineage: Eukaryota; Metazoa; Chordata; Aves; Passeriformes; Passerellidae
Exons: 3
Source: RefSeq, a predicted model, not a curated record